UUCUUCUAAAAAAUCAGGCUGUAAUUGAGUAAAUUAAAUAAAAUUGAAUAUGGUAAAUGAUAAAAGACACGAUAAAGAUUUAAAACCCUACAAAUUUAACUGAUUAUUUUUAAAAUAUGGACUGAAAUUAACCAAAUGGCCGAAAAAAGAAAAACCUAGAGUUCUUACCUGGUUUCGUGAACCCGUGGCUUCAAUCUCCAAAUUACUCUGCUUUUCUCAAAGAUUAUCACAAAAUCGUAACAGAAUUUUUUGAUGAACACAUUUACGAUCAUUAUGCCUCAA
RNAcentral lists this long non-coding RNA (282 nucleotides) under Amborella trichopoda. RNAcentral describes it as "long non-coding RNA (ATRI_LNC002454)". The record is from RNAcentral. Lineage: Eukaryota; Viridiplantae; Streptophyta; Magnoliopsida; Amborellales; Amborellaceae.